GAAGCGUGUCAGCAGGAUGCCAACGCCCUCAAUCAUUGCCAGAAGCAUCCCUCCAAUCACUGCACUCCCUGCCAUUGCUGCAACUCCACCUGAAUUAGAAAAAAACAAAGGAGACAGUGAUUAGUGCCUUUACUAUGUAGAGGUAGAGAAGAGUAAACAAGACUGAACUUUGGAAGGAUACUUCAGUUUCCAAUGAGAACCUGACAUCUCCUUCAAGAGCACAAGUGUACCAGCAAGGAGAAGACAAAGCUUUACUUUCCCUACACAGUGAUAAAAUGACCUGUCAAGGAUUAUCAGGGGCCACUUGGAUUACCUAGGCACCUGAAGCACCCUUCAGGACCCUGUAGAACUAUGAGAUACCUUAAAAUGUGAAACUCUUCAAGCUGAAGAGGAGUGCACUGGAGAGCACACAAGAUCAAGUUUUGCCUCGAGGGAGAUGCUGGAGAAAAGUGAGAUGCCACAUUGCCAGGUUUUAUGAGAAUCAGGAGCAAUAUAAGGCUCUGUCAUGUGGUACUAGAGUUUCUUAGAGGGGAGACAAGUUGAGGUGAGAAGCUUCCAGUUGCUGGGCUACAAGCAUCCCCUGUCGAAACUCACAUUGGUGUUCCAUCAUUAUGUAAAGCGCCAGGGUACAGUCAGUUGUCAACUUACCAGAUGGAAACCCAGACUACUCAGGUCUCUGCAGCUUUGGCACCCGGUUGUAAAUCUGCAUCAGCAAUAAAUGGGCGGGCACCCUUCCUGGCACACUGAGCACAAUCAUACCAUGUUAGUUGUUGCAGUCCUCUUUCCAUUUCCAUAUAGGAAUGACCAGCCUCCUCUUCAUCAGGAGGAAAGGUACCAGACUGCCAUAUGGCAGGCAAGACCACCUGCAACCUGUGGAUCUUAGCCUUGCCUCCAGCUUUGAGUGGCUCUUAAUUGAUUUUACUGAUACCAGGUGCCUUUCCACCCCUCAACUAUGCCACAGCCUCUAUAAUCAGCAUCCACCACCUGCAUGCUCCUUCCCCACUUGGAGGGUCUGGCGUUUACAUCUGCUCAAACUACUCAGCCCAACCAUGUGCGACACGAAGAAGCAAUCUGCUGUUCUGAUUGUGCUCACCUGAGGAGGAGGCUAGGAGCAGAGCUUCUUCAGGGCUCAGUAAACAGGUGGAAGUCAUUCACAUUGAAAUGGUCGUUGAUUUCCUCAAUGAGACAACUGACAUACCUUUCACUGGCUCUCCUCAGGAGAGCUCUAGUCUUGCUUGACAGAACCCUAUAUUGAUCCUGAUCCCCAUCAAGCUUGGCAGUACGACCCUUCAUUCUGUUCCUUCUUUCACUUCUGUCACAAAUGGCCCUCCUACCUCCUCCCCUGCUGUCUCCAUCCCUCUCCCUCUUAACCCUUUCUAUAUGGCGACGUCGGCGUCCUGAUGGCGAAGCCUAUGUUGGCGUCUUUAUUACAUUUAGUUUUAGUUGGUGCUCAGUGAUCCCAUAUUCUGUUCUGACUCUACCUAGAGACUCCGUAUAUGAUACAGUGUCUUAUUUGACUUUCAGUGUUAUUAUAGUGUAAUAACGUAAGUGUGUCUUACGCGCAUUUGUACUUGACACUAACAAUCAAGACACUAACAAUCAAUUCUAACAGAAAAUAACAAAAAUAAUGAAUGUGUACGUGUGGAAUUGUUGAGUUCCUCUUCCUUUGAGUUGCCAAGUGGCCACCUCCCCCCUCGUGUGUGUGUUAAUCUCUCUGUAUAUUUAUGCUUACAUCUCAAAAUUAUCUAAUAGUUUAUAUUUUUCUAUGUGCACCAUUAAAUUUUGCAUGUUUUUAUAUAUAAUACAUGAUUAUUUUGAAACUAUGGCUGAAAACUUGUUAUAAGCAGAAGCGACAUUUGAAAUUUGACGCGCACAGCCAGCCCGGAUACAGGGCAGGGUGCCGUUUUCACCCGGUCGUAGCGAAGGGGUUAAGUGUCUUUUCA
Eriocheir sinensis (Chinese mitten crab) is the source of this 1943-nucleotide long non-coding RNA. RefSeq lists it as uncharacterized. The record is from RefSeq and is a predicted model, not a curated record. The transcript has 3 exons. NCBI's taxonomy places the organism in Eukaryota, Metazoa, Arthropoda, Malacostraca, Decapoda, Varunidae.